CUGGCGGCGUGCUUAACACAUGCAAGUCGAACGAAGAGCGAUGGAAGCUUGCUUCUAUCAAUCUUAGUGGCGAACGGGUGAGUAACGCGUAAUCAACCUGCCCUUCAGAGGGGGACAACAGUUGGAAACGACUGCUAAUACCGCAUACGAUCUAAUCUCGGCAUCGAGGAUAGAUGAAAGGUGGCCUCUAUUUAUAAGCUAUCACUGAAGGAGGGGAUUGCGUCUGAUUAGCUAGUUGGAGGGGUAACGGCCCACCAAGGCGAUGAUCAGUAGCCGGUCUGAGAGGAUGAACGGCCACAUUGGGACUGAGACACGGCCCAGACUCCUACGGGGGCAGCAGUGGGGGAUCUUCCGCAAUGGACGAAAGUCUGACGGAGCAACGCCGCGUGAGUGAUGACGGCCUUCGGGUUGUAAAGCUCUGUUAAUCGGGACGAAAGGCCUUCUUGCGAAUAGUUAGAAGGAUUGACGGUACCGGAAUAGAAAGCCACGGCUAACCACGUGC
Molecule: ribosomal RNA, 502 nt
Filed under: uncultured Veillonella sp.
Lineage: Bacteria; Bacillati; Bacillota; Negativicutes; Veillonellales; Veillonellaceae
Description: bacterial SSU rRNA
Rfam family: Bacterial small subunit ribosomal RNA
Source: RNAcentral